AUGAUUUUAGUCCAAUGCAUCUACUCCCUGUCCAGCAGUCUUGUCUCUCAGCUCACAUUCUUGCAGCCCCAGCUCACUGCGAGACACCUUCCCCUCUGUCCCUCUGCCAGCCAUUCCCAUCCAGUCACACCCUGGCAGCCUUCUUACUCCAUGGUCAGGGUUUCUGCAGAGCUGUGUGCUCUGGCAUGGCAUGGAGCACCUCUGUGGUUAGCACUGCUGCAGUCCCAGAGCAAUGAGGUGGCACCUUCCCUCUGUGGAAGGGUUGCUGCCAUGGCAACCUUCACCAAUGACAGACCUAAAGCAAACAGGUUUCUAGAAGGGGAACUGCAGGAAGCCCUGAAGUUGGACAGAUAAAUACAGAAGUGUUGCCUCCAUCAAGGAAGAGAAAACAAUGCAGAAGAUCAUCAAUGAAGAUUCACUCCUUAUUGGCCCUUCCUGACGAGUGGCAAGAAGUGAGGAAAAAAUGAACAAAGGCUCCUUCCAAAGGACGUGAGUGGUAACGGGUGCAGCUCACGGCAGCCGUCACUGACCCAUCUUUUCUGGUUUGUGUGAGUCAGAGCAAAGAGUAAUUGUGAUGUAGUUCUUCAUGCUUUGGUUUCUUGACGGAACAAUACAACCCAAAAGAUAAACAAAGCGAUAAAAUAAGCAAAUCCUC
RNAcentral lists this long non-coding RNA (655 nucleotides) under Cyanistes caeruleus (blue tit). Its description in RNAcentral is "lncRNA (ENSCCEG00000002187.1)". Lineage: Eukaryota; Metazoa; Chordata; Aves; Passeriformes; Paridae. The record is from RNAcentral.